UUUAUGCAAAUUUCCGUUUGUGAACUGUAAUCCAAACCCACACUUGUUAAAUUAUUUUUGGAAUCAUAUUUGUCUUGAUUUAAUAUGAAAUUUUUAAUGAAUAAUGACGCCCGAUCCAACAAAUAGCAUUGGACCCACAUCUGCACUGCACGUCACCGAUGGAGUACAUUAGAACCAAAUACAUGGGCCUUGCAGACAACAUACUAAUGGUAGGUCCGAUCAGAUAACUGUUCAACUUAUUGAUUAUAGGGUAGAGUCUAGUGUGUCAUUUCUUGGUAUAAAUGUCAAAUAUGUUUUUAUUUAAGUCUGGUUUAUGUAUUUGUUGUUUGCUUUAUUAAUUCCAUAGAACCAUGCCAUUUUGGUCAACUCGCAGAUAUACAUCCCUCUCUAUGUCAGCUAUCAUUGGCACUUGAUGGCUGUCGACAUAUGGGAUGUGAAGAUUAUUUACUAUGACUCACUCAAACCAACAAAGGAAAAAGUUAAACAAGCCAGAAUUGACCAAAUGUUAACUUGUCUCUUAUCAAAACAGUUGUCUUCUUCCAACACCCCAUUCUUACCCAACUUUAUUUAUCGAUUGGAAAAAGUUUUUGAACAAAUUUGAUAGGCUCACUAUCUGGAGGUUCUGCUGGAAGACAGUAGGUUCUACGAGAACAAGGAAACUAGCCCCCCAUUGGUUUCAAGAUUCGGUUUUGUCGAACCCCAAACCACGGAGUAGCAUGUGAAAUCGUAAACUUAACCAAUUUGUUUGAUUUUUUUUCCUUGGUGAUGUUUUGAAGGGAUUUUGGCUAUAGCGUGCAUCAUGGAUUGUAUUGUGUUUUGCAAGAUGGAUUGUGGGGUCUGGGUUAACCAGUAGAUGAUUUAGUCCUGCUUGUGGAGCGACUAUGACCUUGAGUAGACCUAGUGAUGGGAAAGCAUAACACCAUAUCCGAGGAAGUCGUUGCAGGGGCAGUGAAGCACUGAGACAAUAUCAUGGUGGUCAGGUCUCACAGGAAGGGCGUAACAUGUCCCAGACAGAAAAAAAAAUCCAUCUCGAAACAGCAAUCCCACAAUAUGAUGUUGAAUGACUUUUUCUUUUUUCGAGAUCAUGUUGGGAAUGAUUGAUUUUUUUUUUUUUGGUCUUUAAAANNUAAAAAUAUUGAUUAUAUAUAUAUAUACUAGCGCUUUUUA
Molecule: non-coding RNA, 1167 nt
Organism: Arachis ipaensis
Lineage: Eukaryota; Viridiplantae; Streptophyta; Magnoliopsida; Fabales; Fabaceae
Source: RefSeq, a predicted model, not a curated record